UACGGAGGGAGCUAGCGUUGUUCGGAAUUACUGGGCGUAAAGCGCACGUAGGCGGACUUUUAAGUCAGGGGUGAAAUCCCAGAGCUCAACUCUGGAACUGCCUUUGAUACUGGGUGUCUUGAGUAUGGAAGAGGUGAGUGGAAUUCCGAGUGUAGAGGUGAAAUUCGUAGAGAUCGGCAGGAACACCCAGGGGGAAACCAGUGGACUGGGCAUGAGCUGACGCUCAGGUGCGAAAGCGUGGGGAGCGAACCGG
RNAcentral lists this ribosomal RNA (253 nucleotides) under uncultured bacterium. Its description in RNAcentral is "partial 16S ribosomal RNA". It matches the Rfam family "Bacterial small subunit ribosomal RNA", at positions 524 to 776 of the family's 1533-position model. The record is from RNAcentral.